GGCAAGCUGCAGGUCCUCCCCUCCUCCAUGGGCGUGCACCCCUCCUUCCCUUCAUCUUCCUCAAGCCAGCAGCCAUGGCGCCUCCACCUCCCAGCGCCCAGAUUUUCCUCUCUAGCGCGCCCCCUCCAGGCAUGGCGGCAGCUCCUCCUCCCUCUGCUUCGUGCGCGCAGGAGCAGAAGCUCCUUGGGAGCACGCCGACGCCCCAGCUGGCUCCCUUUCCUCCUCCCCCCUUCUUUCCCCAUGGCCGUCCAGCCCUGCACAGCAGCGCCCCUGCUCCUUUUUCUUUUCCCUCUGCUCCCUGUGCGGCAUGCUCUGCUCACCGGCGAGUUCAUGUGCUCACGGCACCUCUCCCUGCCUUCCCUCGAACCUGUGGGCACUAGCGCAGGCUCCCUUUUUUUCCCCACCGUCUCCCUCAGCCAGUAGCCGUCGACCUCCUCCCCCUGCUGUUCUUGCAGUUCAAGUUCUCCCCACGCCGACCUUCUUCUCCGGCAAGUCUGGCCGCUGCCAUCCCUCGGCACCGGGCUGGAGCACACGCCGAGCUCCUCCUCACGUGCUCCUCCACCGGUCUGCGUCCCCGCUCGAGCAGCAGCAGCGGCGAUGCCCUCCGCUGCGUCGCGCUCGCCAGGACGGGCCACCCGCCGUCGAUCUCGCAGUCCCCGUCGCGAUGUCGUCAGUCCGCGCUAGCUAUCGGUGUCGCGCCACGUGCUCUGCCUAUGCAACGAAAUGCUAGCCGGUGGACAGCACAUGCGACUCACCAAUCCGGCCAGGUUGCUUUUGUUUCAUUUACGAUUUAGUCGAUGACGUGAAUAUGUGCGUGAAAAUAUAAUUGUAUGAAUGGACGCGAGUAGAAAGAAAAUAAAGUAGAAAAGAACUCGGAUGUUUUUAUAUUUUUAUUUUGAUUGGAAAAUAUGCGAUGCGUUGUUUAAUACGAAAA
Molecule: long non-coding RNA, 934 nt
Organism: Zea mays
Lineage: Eukaryota; Viridiplantae; Streptophyta; Magnoliopsida; Poales; Poaceae
Exons: 2
Source: RefSeq, a predicted model, not a curated record